UACGAAGGGAGCUAGCGUUGUUCGGAAUCACUGGGCGUAAAGCGCACGUAGGCGGAUGUGUCAGUCAGGGGUGAAAUCCCGGAGCUCAACUUCGGAACUGCCUUUGAUACAGCACGUCUUGAGUCCGAUAGAGGUGGGUGGAAUUCCUAGUGUAGAGGUGAAAUUCGUAGAUAUUCGGAAGAACACCAGUGGCGAAGGCGGCUCACUGGCCCGGUACUGACGCUGAUGUGCGAAAGCGUGGGGAGCAAACAGG
This 253-nucleotide ribosomal RNA is filed under the name uncultured bacterium. Its description in RNAcentral is "partial 16S ribosomal RNA". It matches the Rfam family "Bacterial small subunit ribosomal RNA", at positions 524 to 776 of the family's 1533-position model. The record is from RNAcentral.